This is a long non-coding RNA of Phragmites australis (common reed), 980 nucleotides long. RefSeq lists it as uncharacterized. NCBI's taxonomy places the organism in Eukaryota, Viridiplantae, Streptophyta, Magnoliopsida, Poales, Poaceae. The record is from RefSeq and is a predicted model, not a curated record. The transcript has 3 exons.
AUAAUUUUUUCAAAAGUUUUUGUAAUUUUUUAUUUUUAAAUAUAAAAAUAAAAAGCUCAUUUUCCCCCUAUCUCCUCACGGGCCAGCCCAUGCCGUCCGUGCGUACGAGCACAGCCCGUCACGUAAGACCCACACUGCCAUUUCCCUUUCCCGACGACACCAGCCCACGCACCCCGCGGCACCCGCCGUUGCCGGCGUACCUCUGCCGCCGGUGGAACACCCGAUGCCGCGCCCGCGCGGGACGGCCGCGAGCCGCACCCACCAACACGAACGCCGUCCAAUCCACGACGAACCAAACCGCAACGCCCUCGGCAGUGGCAUGGGCAGGUCGGCGGCGCGCGUACGCCGGGGCGUGGAGGCCGCCAGCCCCGACCACCGCCACAGCCAUCUCGAGGGGAUAAAGGUGAGAAAAUUAUGCCUGUGGUCAUAAUCAUAGAUGCUUCCUGGAUGAUAAAAUACAUCCACUGAAACCAUCAGCAGUUUACUGCUGCAAGUCCAUAGAGUCUUCCUGCCUUUUUCCUUGGUGGACCAGCAGCUAUGCAAGUGUCAACAUGUGGCCAAUUUUAUGUUCAUUCGGCGGUUUCUUCUGCAGACAUUGUUUUAUGGAUUCAGUCAAAUUCUAGUGGCGAUUGCACUUUCUUGCAGUACUGGAGUUCCUGUACUAUAUUGUAUAAGAUUUAUCUGUGGCUGUUGCUGGCGUAUCGUGGAAAUAUUCUUGAUGGAACAUUCACCCAGAAGAGACAAUAACAUUCUUUUGUUUUCGUAGUGAACUGCUUACUGUGUUUGAGAAUACUGCAUAGGUAAUGGCUAUGGAAGAACAAAAGAGCUAGAGUGGUUGCUAACUCAUCAAAUGUUCUCUUCGCUAAUAAAUACAGAUUUUCCAGGAUUUUUAUGUUAGUUUUUGUAUUGGCAUAGAAGCACACCUUUAAACAGUAGUACUGCCUCUAAACUUGUAGGAUGUAAACUUUUGUAUUUUGAAG